CCUACGGGUGGCAGCAGUGAGGAAUAUUGGUCAAUGGGCGAGAGCCUGAACCAGCCAAGUCGCGUGAAGGAUGACGGCCCUACGGGUUGUAAACUUCUUUUGUCAGGGAGCAAUUGAGUCCACGUGUGGGCUUAGCGAGAGUACCUGAAGAAAAAGCAUCGGCUAACUCCGGGCCAGCAGCCGCGGUAAUACGGGGGAGGCGAGCGUUACCCGGAUUUUUUGGGUUAAAGGGGUGCGUAGGCGGAAGAUCAAGUCAGCGGUAAAUAUCGGGGGCUCAACCCCGUCGUGCCGUUGAAACUGUUGUUCUAGAGUGGACGAGAGGUAUGCGGAAUGCAUGGUGUAGCGGUGAAAUGCAUAGAGAUCACACAGAACACCGAUUGCGAAGGCAGCAUACCGGGGUCCAACUGACGCUGAAGCACGAAAGCGUGGGUAUCGAACAGGAUUAGAUACCCCAGUAGUC
This 460-nucleotide ribosomal RNA is filed under the name uncultured bacterium. RNAcentral describes it as "partial 16S ribosomal RNA". It matches the Rfam family "Bacterial small subunit ribosomal RNA", at positions 338 to 795 of the family's 1533-position model. The record is from RNAcentral.